RNAcentral lists this ribosomal RNA (348 nucleotides) under uncultured bacterium. RNAcentral describes it as "bacterial SSU rRNA". It matches the Rfam family "Bacterial small subunit ribosomal RNA", at positions 29 to 381 of the family's 1533-position model. The record is from RNAcentral.
AAUGAACGUUGGCAGCGUGGAUUAGGCAUGCAAGUCGAGCGACAAGGUCCUGGACGUGGAGGAGCGGCAAACGGGGUAGGUAAUACAUCGGAACGUACCCUCACGUCUGGGAUAGCCACGGGAAACUGUGGGUAAUACUGGAUAAUCUCACCGCUUGUGAAGAGUGGUGAGCAAAGGUCCGCCGCGUGAGGAGCGGCCGAUGCGAUACUAGAUAGUUGGUGGGGUAAUGGCCUACCAAGUCUAAGAUGUCUAGGGGGUGUGAGAGCAUGGCCCCCACCACUGGGACUGAGACACUGCCCAGACACCUACGGGUGGCUGCAGUCGAGAAUCUUUGGCAAUGGGCGCAAG